RNAcentral lists this long non-coding RNA (4404 nucleotides) under Xyrichtys novacula (pearly razorfish). The record is from RNAcentral. Lineage: Eukaryota; Metazoa; Chordata; Actinopteri; Labriformes; Labridae.
UCCAGUCUGCCUUUGGGGUUGUGCUGUGAACUCUAUCUGAUAUUGGGAAAAAUAUUAAAUAUGGUAAUUACCCACUUUGGUUUAGAUAGGCCUCUGCACCUAUUUUCCCCCGCCUUAUAAUUGCUUCCUUUGGGAUGAUUAGUAAUCGCUAGGAGAUAGUCAACCGGGCGUUUAUGCUCCGUCAUUACGCACUGUACCAGACGUCCGAACAUUAAGUGGUGCAGCAUUAACUGAGGAUUCAGUAAAGUGGUACUGUUUAGACUCACUCCAAGAGGCUGACCAAUAAAAUGUGGCUGUGUUAUGAUCCUGAGAAAAUACACUGAACUGUCCUAUAGUCAAUAUUUUUAUGAUUAUCCUGCAAACAACUUUAAGCAAUUUAAGGCCACCUCAGUGUCAACAGCUUAGCAGUCAACAGACCUCGAACACAGUUAAAUCCUGCCACAAAAGGAUGAAAACUGAGGAAAAUUAAGGAGUAGAAAUCAGUAUCGAGGAGUAAUUAUUUUAUAUUUCUCACUCUUGUGUCAUCUUAACCCUAGAACAUUAUCGCCGGGUGAUUUUCACCCGACCAAACGUGUUUACGUGAUUUUCAUUAUGUUGUGUUUGAGUAUCAUGGGUCCCUAGGUAACUUAAGCACUGACUUUGACAUCUUUGAAGGCAUAUUUGUUUCCCUGAUCCAAAACCUUUUCCUACAGGUGCAUGUUCGGGAGAUUUUUACCCAACAAUAGCGAUAGAGGGUAAAGUAGGUUUUUGUGGAUUUGAUAGCUGCAUGUAGGGAAUAAGGUCAGUAAGAGUGGUCCUGGAAUUUGUAUGCUAUCUUUAUUAAGUCCAGUGGUUAUGGAUAACUAUCACAAAGUAGAGAUUUUCAAGGGAAUAAGAAAUAUUUUAGUCAGCUGGUCAUUUUUACUCACUCAAAAUAUGCCAUAUUUUGGUUCUCUCUCCUGCAGCUGUUAUUGUGCCAAGGACCCUGAGUCUUCACCAGGGAAGACUCACAUGCCCAAGGAAUAGGUGCGAAAGAAACUAAGUUUACAGUUUCUAUAAAGAAAAAAGAAAACUACUUUAAUUUGUCAUCUAUUGUCCUAUUUUGGUAUAUUUUGAUGACAAGUACUUUUUCUUGGGUAUAUGAUUUCGGGUAAAAAUCACCCGGCGAUAGUGGUGGUGUUACUAAUUUUAGCGAUCAUGUUCUGGGGUUAAGAGGAUCGGAGAAACCUUGAUGUUUCAAGGUCAGCUGCUUAAUUGAGAAUUUAUGUUGACUCCUCUGUGGUUAGUUUUGCUUAAAAGAAUAAAUAAAGAAUCCCAAUGUUAAAACAGGCUAUGCACGUACAAAGCACCCAAACUAUCAUUAGCAGCAGCCUGCAGCUGACUCAGGAUCUGUUGUGCGUCAACUAUUUUGCAUAUAAAGUGGCGUCUCCCACCUUCCUGCCAAACUCACCAAUCAGAAGCCGCAUAUGCUGCUCAUGGACAGGUCACAUUAACCAAUCAGUAUUAAUCUGCUCUUUUGAAACCUGAACGUCUUUCCAAAACGGCUUCAACAGAACCAUGGGCUGAUUUAGGUGAUUUAAUAGCCAAGGGAAGUGGCCCGGCGAUCAUCUGGGAGUAUUUUGGGUUUGAGGCUGCAGACGUGCACCAGCAGAAACAGGUAGGCUACUGCGCAAAACCUGUCGCGCUAAAGUUGUUAUAUCGAGUGGAAACACCGACUUAUACACUUGAGAAACCACCGCUGACACUUGCAGGAGUGCAUAACGAAAAAGUCCGGUGAAAAGUUGAAUAAACAGAAGCAAACAAACUACAAUUACAACAUCUUUUGCCAGUGUAGAGCAGCCGCAGUCACCGGGAGAUAAGAGCUGCCAUGACACGGUAGGGGAGAGUGGGGUGAGUUGUGCCAGUUUUUACUAAACGUCUUUAAAGCAAGGGGAUGACAGUAAUACCUCCAACUAAAAUAUGUGCAUAUAGUUUAGAAAGUGGUGCAUCCAUGGGAACAAUCACUUUGGAUCUUAAAUAAAUUGGUUGAGAAAUAAAGCUUUAGAAAAACAAGUGGUCUUGUGGCAUGACUUGCCCCCAGUGUGUGGUAAAUGGUGUCAUAGAUUAUUGAAGUAAAACACAUCAUUUUAAUCUAAUGCUAUAUAAAAGUAAGACAAAUUCAAUACAAAAUUAAGUUUUUACAACAUCUAAGCCCACUUCUCUAUAACAAAAGGCCUUGUUGUAGAGAAGUGGGUUUAGAUGAAGUGCACAUGAACAAAUUCAGUCACAAUUCUCUGUGGUUUGGGUAGUUUCUUAAGCACAUCACCUCUAGAGAUGACUCCAGUUUCUCUAAAUGUGUACAAUAGAUUUUGGGGUGUUGAAAUUGGGGUCUCAGGAUUGUCUUAGCUCUUAUUCUACUCCUUUUAUUGCAUUUUAGUCAUUCCACUGUUGGACGUAUAGCUCAUGUAUUUAUUAUCUGAUUCAUGUUGCUGACAGGGGAAUGUCUGGCAUUUGUCUGUUCGGGUUACUGGGAAGUGAAUUGCCCUUCGGGGUAAGGCUGCACGAUAUUGGAAAAAACUAACAUUGCAAUUUUUUUCAACCCUGAGAUAUAUAUUAAAGAAUUCAGGAAUUUUCACCAGAUGACCUGAAUAGCACUUUGGUAUGCUGCACUGCUGAAAUCUUGAGGACAGUUAGCCUGCACUGAUCUUACCUCUUUUUGUGAAUGUUAGUAGAACGGCUUCUGUCUGUCUCAGAGAUAAUUUUAGCUUUUAUUAUGCUGGGACGCUAUUGCGGCAGAGGAUGAACACAGAACAUGUGUUUUGGUCGACAUCAUCCUUCUUGUAACCAAAAUAAUUCCAGAUAGCUGACGUUGCUUUUCUUUUUGGCCACAAGUCUUCAUUUUUGGUGGUUAUCUCUUGUUCGUUGCUCAUUUUGCAGUUGUUGUUGUUGUUACCUGUGUUGUGCUGCAUGCACCUCGCGAAACACGCACCGCUUAUAGUAGAGUGGACCACUGAAAUAUACAAUUUAAAACCCACACAAUUCUUAUUUGUGGGGCUAGACAGUGAUGAGUAAUGUUCCGUAAGAACGAAUGUGAUUGGUGGAUCACUGCACAGCACAUGCUGAGUCACAUGCAGUGUAUCUCAGUCAGCUACCCUUGAAAUCAGAUGGGUUCAUUCGCCUCCUACAUCGCAGGCUCUUCAAUGUGACUAUCGCGCACAUGUACAUCCCGAUGACGAUGCUCAAAGGAUAUAUUGUGCAGCCCUACUUCGGGGAAUAAUAAAGUUGUCUGAAUCUGAAUCUGAAUUUACAAGGAGACCGUUGGUGCUAGCUCUGCUAGCAUUAGCCCCACUCUGCAAACCUGUUUGACUUCUUUAACUCUUAGACUGUCUGAUUCUGUGUCUACCGGUGUAAAAUAAUCUGUGCCCAGUUUUGAUUAUUCUCUGAGUGUUCUCUUAUGAUUGGAGUCGUUGGCUUGUAAGAAAUUAAAUUUUAGUUGCAAUGAUUGAGAAAUGAACCACUUUGGAACAUCACUAAUUAAUACAGAGACAUGUUUUACUUUUAAUUAGUAAAAUGGCAGAUGUUUCCUGCACGUAUUGAUCAAGAAUAUAUGUCACAUUCCUGGACUGUAAUUAUGUUAUCAUUUUAUGUGUGUGUUCUCUCUUACACUGCAGGCUGUCAUGUUGAAAUCAGCCAUGUGAUUAUUCGCUUUGCCUACUUUCCUCUCUUUGAUCUGCAUGAUCAGCAGCCUGGAGAGGUUUUUGUAUGUUUGUUUGCUUUCUUAUUUGUGGGAACAGUUUUAUGGUCCAUUUAGGUAUGCCUGCGUUGAUCAUUUUUAGUGUAGUGCUUUAAGCAUUUAAAGUCGACAUAAUUCUGCAGAGCUUAAUCAUUGGAGAGACAUUUUAACUGUGGUUUUCAGACCAUCAGAGUUAGUACUGAUGGUGCUGGGCACAGAAUUUUUGCUGGAUAGUCAAUGCAAGAAAAGUUCCCUGCUUGUGUAAUGUAACUCGUUUCUGUCCUCAAGUUAUCUCUCCAAUCACAGUCUAAUAUAAGGAUGAAGGUUGAGGCUAAUGUGGAGCAAAGUGUGUGCAUCAAUAUCUGGUGGAAGAAAAUAACUCGAGAGCAGAGUAGCUCACCUCUUGCACUGGAUCAUAUGCUGUCUCAUUAUGUAAUGACUCAGUCAAGAAGCUGGCAACAGCUGGGGGAAGAGGAUGAGGAAGCAUUUCAGGUCGAAUGAAAUAUUUAGAGGAUCCAAUCAUGUAAGGCUGUUAAGAGGCUUAAUUGUUAAUUCCACCAAGUUUAAAGGAAUGACAGAUGUCCGUGUAUACCCUGUUCUUCUUUCCAGCAUAUAUCGAUGAGGCUGCUGGGUUUUGGCAAAAAUCGUGACAAAAAUACAUUAUUGGAUUGAUACUGAGAUCACAGUUUUGAGACACUCAUGAUUUGACAUAU